This 253-nucleotide ribosomal RNA is filed under the name uncultured bacterium. RNAcentral's name for it is "partial 16S ribosomal RNA". It matches the Rfam family "Bacterial small subunit ribosomal RNA", at positions 524 to 776 of the family's 1533-position model. The record is from RNAcentral.
GACGUAGGGCGCGAGCGUUGUCCGGAUUUAUUGGGCGUAAAGAGCUCGUAGGCGGCUUGUCGCGUCGUCCGUGAAAACCUGGGGCUCAACCCCAGGCUUGCGGUCGAUACGGGCAGGCUCGAGUUCGGUAGGGGAGACUGGAAUUCCUGGUGUAGCGGUGAAAUGCGCAGAUAUCAGGAGGAACACCGGUGGCGAAGGCGGGUCUCUGGGCCGAUACUGACGCUGAGGAGCGAAAGCGUGGGGAGCGAGCAGG